This 253-nucleotide ribosomal RNA is filed under the name uncultured bacterium. RNAcentral's name for it is "partial 16S ribosomal RNA". It matches the Rfam family "Bacterial small subunit ribosomal RNA", at positions 524 to 776 of the family's 1533-position model. The record is from RNAcentral.
UACGGGGGGGGCAAGCGUUGUUCGGAAUUACUGGGCGUAAAGGGCUCGUAGGCGGCCAACUAAGUCAGACGUGAAAUCCCUCGGCUUAACCGGGGAACUGCGUCUGAUACUGGAUGGCUUGAGUUUGGGAGAGGGAUGCGGAAUUCCAGGUGUAGCGGUGAAAUGCGUAGAUAUCUGGAGGAACACCGGUGGCGAAGGCGGCAUCCUGGACCGACACUGACGCUGAGGAGCGAAAGCCAGGGGAGCGAACGGG